RNAcentral lists this small RNA (79 nucleotides) under Flavobacterium flevense. Its description in RNAcentral is "Flavo-1 RNA". It matches the Rfam family "Flavo-1 RNA". The record is from RNAcentral. Lineage: Bacteria; Pseudomonadati; Bacteroidota; Flavobacteriia; Flavobacteriales; Flavobacteriaceae.
UGCUCGCGUUAAGGAUGGAAGCGGUAUCCUUUUAUGUAGCGUAGCGGAAUAAAAGAUAUAGCGUACAGCCUGACCCCGC